Molecule: long non-coding RNA, 579 nt
Organism: Nicrophorus vespilloides
Lineage: Eukaryota; Metazoa; Arthropoda; Insecta; Coleoptera; Silphidae
Exons: 2
Source: RefSeq, a predicted model, not a curated record
CUCUAGUCAGAUCAGUAUCUGGUAUUCGUCCGUCCUUUUCGUGUUCCAAUUUAAAUAAUCCUAACUCCUUCUAAUAAUAUUAAUUUAGAAAGUAGAUGAGAAUUUUAAAUAGUAAAAAAAGAAUUUACACCAAUUGAAUAGACAAAAAUCAACCAGGAAAUUUUAAAUUUUAAUAAUUAUUGAAUUAUUCAAAUAACCAUGAUUCAUUCCACGCCGCUUGGCAAUAUGUUUUAUAAACAGCAGGAAUCUGAAAGAAUAAUUAAAACGAAAGCAAUAUCAAUUAAAGAAAAUAAGAAAGAGACCUAAUUGGAUGCACACUGGGCUGGGAAAAUUGGAAAUAUUCUUAUUAUUAUCUUCGACGUUUGCUUUAGAUUGUCUUUCUUUCUCAAAUUGGUUAUUGUACAUUCUAUUCUCGUCUGCACAUUUUGAACUAAUGGUGGUUCUAACUUCAGCCAACGUACAUUUGCAUUGUAUGAUCUAACAUGUCAUUGGCCUAUUUUUAUACCUAUGAAAGCUAGGCUCGGUAAAUAAGAAAGGGAAUGACGAGCUACACGUCAGGACAAUAGAACCGGAGAUAGA